Molecule: transfer RNA, 81 nt
Filed under: Candidatus Omnitrophota bacterium
Lineage: Bacteria; Pseudomonadati; Candidatus Omnitrophota
Description: tRNA-Leu
Rfam family: tRNA
About the family: Transfer RNA (tRNA) molecules are approximately 80 nucleotides in length. Their secondary structure includes four short double-helical elements and three loops (D, anti-codon, and T loops). Further hydrogen bonds mediate the characteristic L-shaped molecular structure. tRNAs have two regions of fundamental functional importance: the anti-codon, which is responsible for specific mRNA codon recognition, and the 3' end, to which the tRNAs corresponding amino acid is attached (by aminoacyl-tRNA synthetases). tRNAs cope with the degeneracy of the genetic code in two manners: having more than one tRNA (with a specific anti-codon) for a particular amino acid; and 'wobble' base-pairing, i.e. permitting non-standard base-pairing at the 3rd anti-codon position.
Source: RNAcentral
GCGGCGGUGGCGAAAUGGCAGACGCGCAAGACUUAGGAUCUUGUCCAGAAAGGGGUGGGGGUUCAAGUCCCUCUCGCCGCA